This 103-nucleotide microRNA precursor is filed under the name Oikopleura dioica. Its description in RNAcentral is "microRNA odi-mir-1497h precursor". The record is from miRBase by way of RNAcentral. Lineage: Eukaryota; Metazoa; Chordata; Appendicularia; Copelata; Oikopleuridae.
AAAAGGUUGAAGAGCAUGAACACCCCUUUCCAAUUCUUAGAUGAGCUAUUUAAGUCACAAGCUUAUUGAAGAAUUGCAGGUGGUGGACAAGCCUUUCAAAAAU